GCCCCCGUGGCGUAAUGGAUAGCGUGUAAGUCUUCGGAACUUAAGGUGAGGGUUCGAAUCCUUCCGGGGGCA
Molecule: transfer RNA, 72 nt
Filed under: Candidatus Nealsonbacteria bacterium RBG_13_38_11
Lineage: Bacteria; Candidatus Nealsoniibacteriota
Also listed under: 1 other name
Description: tRNA-Arg
Rfam family: tRNA
About the family: Transfer RNA (tRNA) molecules are approximately 80 nucleotides in length.
Source: RNAcentral